UACGGGAUGGUCGAUAAAGUCGGUAGAUUGUAAAUCUAUGAAUGAGUGCAUAUACUCUUCCGUAA
This 65-nucleotide transfer RNA is filed under the name Sthenoteuthis oualaniensis. RNAcentral describes it as "tRNA-Tyr". The record is from RNAcentral. Lineage: Eukaryota; Metazoa; Mollusca; Cephalopoda; Oegopsida; Ommastrephidae.